GACGAACGCUGGCGGCGUGCUUAACACAUGCAAGUCGAACGGUGCAGCGCCUUCCUUUUUGGUGGGUGUGGAUGAGUGGCGAACGGGUGAGUAACACGUGAGUAACCUUCCCCCUUCUUCUGGAUAACCGCAUGAAAGUGUUGCUAAUACGGGAUUUUCUGCGUCUGUCUCGUGAUGGGUCUGGGAAAGAUGUUGUUUCGGUAGAGGAUGGGCGCGCGGCCUAUCAGCUUGUGGGUGGGGUGAUGGCCUACCAAGGCGGUGACGGGUAGCCGGCCUGAGCGGGUGGACGGUCAGAAUGGGAAUGAGGCACGGCCAAGAUGGGUACGGGAGGCAGCAGUGGGGAAUACUGGACGAUGGGGGCAAGACUGAUGCAGCGACGCCGCGUGAGGGAUGGAGGCCUUCGGGUUGUGAACUGCAUGCGCUAGUGAAGCAGGCCUGCCUUGCUUGUGAGGGGGUUGACGGUAGCUGGAUAAGAAGCUCCGGCUAACUACGUG
Molecule: ribosomal RNA, 494 nt
Filed under: uncultured bacterium
Lineage: Bacteria
Description: partial 16S ribosomal RNA
Rfam family: Bacterial small subunit ribosomal RNA
Source: RNAcentral